This 253-nucleotide ribosomal RNA is filed under the name uncultured bacterium. RNAcentral's name for it is "partial 16S ribosomal RNA". It matches the Rfam family "Bacterial small subunit ribosomal RNA", at positions 524 to 776 of the family's 1533-position model. The record is from RNAcentral.
UACGGAGGGUGCGAGCGUUGUCCGGAAUCAUUGGGCGUAAAGGGUGCGUAGGUGGCGCUGUAAGUCGGGUGUGAAAUUUCGGAGCUUAACUCCGAAACUGCAUUCGAUACUGCGGUGCUUGAGGACUGGAGAGGAGACUGGAAUUCAUGGUGUAGCAGUGAAAUGCGUAGAGAUCAUGAGGAAGACCAGUGGCGAAGGCGGGUCUCUGGACAGUUCCUGACACUGAGGCACGAAGGCCAGGGGAGCAAACGGG